Molecule: long non-coding RNA, 18895 nt
Organism: Varanus komodoensis (Komodo dragon)
Lineage: Eukaryota; Metazoa; Chordata; Lepidosauria; Squamata; Varanidae
Exons: 3
Source: RefSeq, a predicted model, not a curated record
AAACUAACCAUGUACUAGGCUAUAGGAUUAAUUUGAAUAAAGACUCCCAGAAAUUAUUUGAAAAUUAUGCACUCCCAGAUAUAUAGUUUUUUAUUCUGCCAAUAGGAGUGUCUUCACAUGAGACAGAAGAUUUACCAAAGCUACUUCUCCUGUUUGCAAGGGGAUUAAAGCAUGCUUCACACUAGUGUGUGCUCCCCUGCUAGGUAGAAAUGUGUGUGUGUGUGUGUUUCUGUGUGUGUCCCUCUCUACUUUUCCAUACGCACCAUUACACAGCACAAGGUGGUGCUGUGGUAUAGAGUGGGAUUGUGAAACUGCACUAGGCUUCUCUAGAGAUAAUGGUGCCAUGGAAGGAAAGGAACAGUCUUUCCUUGCUUUUUUAAAAAAUGUUGUAAAAAUGCUUGGAAAACUCAGGAGAAGACCUAGAGGAGGAGGAGGAGACCAUGAAAAGGUCCUGAAAAUUUCUGUGAAUGAGAGAUCAUGAGCGUACAUUAAAGCUCCAGCUUUAGCACUGUGGUGUCGUUCAUGCAAAAUGACAAUUCUAUGAACGAUUACUUCCAAAGUCAUAUUAAAAUACUUUACAAUGUGUACGUAUUGUUUUAGCAGCCAUCUGAUGAACAAGAGGCAAAUGCCUGCAAAAUCUUAUGCUUUAUUUAGACCUUCUGAAUAAGUAACAUCUGUUCCGGCUGAUGGAAAAUAUCCUUUUGGUCACCGAGGGAUCGCAGUCAUGUUACCCCUGGAAAGGUCUGUGUGAAUCAACAGUCAGAUAGACUCAUCACUCUGCACCUAAUAGAUAUAUACCAAAAUGAAGCCAAGGCAUUCCUGUCCAAAGUGGGAGGUAACAACAUGCUCUCCCGUGGAUGACAGAAUCAGACAGCUUGGGAAAAAGAGUAAGAGAAAGAAAAGCAAAGCUUCUAUAGUUUCUUGCUGUUGGGAAUGCCUGCCUGCCACCACCCAAUCCAGAUGUAAGCACUGUUUAUCAUUAGUUCAAAUGUGAUCAUUGCUUUCUUAUAUAUUACAGCUUUACAAAUGAUGAGUAAAACAGAAGGCUUAUCCAAAAUGUGUUGGAUAGUUUUAGGCACUUCCCGCUUAGCUUUAAAACAGAGCUGGAUUUAUUUAGUAGAUGCAUCACUGGAUGAGCUUUUAAUCUGAAGCAUCAGUAGCUUCCAUAAAAAAGAACAGAUGGGAAGCUUCACUCUUAAUGUUCAGGAUUGUUUGUUUUUAUUCUUCACUUAAGUGUCAGGAUUGGCCAAAAGCAGAGGGAGAAAAGGAUGGGGCCAUUGCAACAGAAUAGGAUAAUAAAGAGAUCCUGCCUCUAAUACAGGAUUUCAGGUUCAGAGAGAAAAGAGUAAACUGAAGUUAUAACAGGUAAUAGCAAGGAUUUGAUUAUUUAAUUUUUGCCACUCCACUGCAUUUGCUUUGCUGGCACCUUCCUCCUCCUCUGCCUAACAAGCAUAUUUUUGCAACAGGCCACCCGUCAUCAUUCAAUAGCGCUCAGGUGAUGCAUGACAUAAAAUCCCAUGCAGCAAAUAUUAAUAGCACAAUCCUAUGGCCUUCCACCAUCAUCAUCAUUGGAGUCCAAGCUACUUUCCCCUCUCUCACAGCUGGCUGUCCCCCAUGAGACACAGCUGGACCUCCAAGGGGAAAAGGAGGCAUGCUGGGGGUAAGGUGGGCUGGGCAGGGCCAUUGUAUUUCUAUCCAGAGGGCCAUGUAAAUAAAAUGCAGGGUACAGAGACAUGGCAGCAUAGCAUUGGGUGCUCAUAAGCCCCCCUUUCAUCUGCUGCAGGGGCAACAGUAAAAGUAUCAGCUUCUAUGUGCCUUCCAUGUGCUUGAGUAGUAUUGCAACAUUCCAAUGAACACCUGAAAAGGUCUACUCAGCAGGUGGGAUAGGUAGAAGGAUUUAUAAGGUCUUAUAGCACUGGCAGGAUGUGGAGGAUAGAAAAGCCUCAGCUUUGGUCAUUCCUUAUUCAUGAUUGUCUGUGGAGUCUUUGCGUGAUGUGGCAAUGCUUCAGCUUUGUUUGCGUGUCUAAGCCACAUUUUUUUCAAAGCAUGGGAAAUGCUGCAUUUCAUUGUGAAAGCAAAAGAAAGCAUGCUAUUGUGUUUUAUUUCGCUAUAGCACUCCUAGAGGUUAUAUAGUAGAAAACCAUUAAAGGAAAUGCUCUUCAUGUAAUGCUUGGAACUCAGUUCUGUGACAAACUCGGUUCACUGCUGAUUAACAGCUUUGCAAAGAAACACUCAUCUGCCAAGAAUAUUGUCUGCAGCAGCCCACCAGAUGUUUAAUUCAACUCCCUCUAUCCCAGCCAACAUGGCUAAUGAUCAGGAAUGCUGGAAAACUGAAGGGUACCAGAUUGGGAAAAACCUUUCUAUAUAAAUACCAAGUCAUGAACAUAUGAAUUAUUAUUCCCUGGAUCCAUAGUCCUCAAAAUAUGAAUUAACGCACCUUUAGGAUAUAGAAACAGUUAAAGAACCUCUCUACUCCCCAGAGUGGAUCAGUGGUAAUGCAGUGGUGGAGGAUGUGCUUUGUAGGAUAACACCCCUGAUUCCAUCACCAAACUAUGGUUGACAGGAUAUCAGGUGGAGCAGCCGUCAGGGGUUUUCUGUGAAACUCUGAAUUGCUGCUGCAAGAUAGGAAAGAGCAGGAGAAGGCAAUCCAGUGUCUUCAAGAUUUUUGGACUACAGCUCCCACAACUGAGCAUUGACCAUGCUGGCUAGGUCUUAUGGGCAUGGUAGCCCAAAACAUAUGAAGGACACCAAGUUACCUAUCCCUGGUGUUAACCCUCCUGGGUUUAGUGAAGCAUUAUUUUGAGAGUAUGCAAUAUUUAUUUAUUUUAUUUAGCAGGUAACUGACAGAUGCAAGGAACCUUGCUAUAUACUUGAAUGUUUCCAACCUGAAAGCAAGAGAGGAUUGCGUACAGAUGAUAUCAUUGCAGAACUUCGGAGCUAGUACUGAAAUGCUAUCAUAGCCUAUGGGACAGAAGUUCAAUUUUUGUCUCCUUCCAUGGCCUUUGGUCAAACCAGCUUUAUAGGUUUUUUUGUCAUGUUCUUCAACCUAGUGCAUUAAACUUCUGGACUUCUUCUUCCUCUCUGAAUGAGGAGAAUGAGCAUCUUCAGCCAAGCAGGUUUUUUCCCCCUGCCCUCCCAUAAAUCAAAGCAGUGACCAUAUCAUGUACUUAACAGCAAAACCAUGUAGAGUAUAAGUCUGUCUGAAUAAGUAUUGUUCUUCCAUAUUUACCAGUCUAUAACAGCAGUAAGACAACAGCUAACUUUACAAUGAGAGAGCAAUAUAAAAUUAUGCCACUGUCAUUUUCUCUAUUCUUUUCUCUGUAAAUAUACUCUGCCAAUUUUCUUUUUCUUCCCACAUGGCACACAUCUGAUCAGAACACAUAAUAAUGUGUUUGUUAUUACGUGUGAGCUGCUCUGAGCUGUCUCAAGAAAGAAAAGAAUAGAAGAAGUAGUUGUAGUCAUAAUAAAGAUAACAGAUUUCAACUGUUCUAAGAGCUUCACAUACAUUAUUUUAGAAAUCCUGACAUGCACUGGAUAAUGCAAACAGAAUGUUGCUAGAUCAGGUUUUUACAUUUUGAUAGCUCAAUUAUAUGGUUGAAAUUAAAAGGACAUAUAAGCAUGCUCUAUGAAGGAUGCAAUGUUUCCUAGGAAGAGGACUGUGCAUUAGGGUUACUUGUGUGCAUGGUGAGGACAUUUUCACCUUCCAAGUUUAAAGGGGCUUCAACUGGGCUUAUAAAGGCAAUCUAAAUCUGUAUGGUUUAUUUGUACCAAAGGCUUCUCCUUUUCUGCCUUUCCUUUUGGAAGAACUUAAUGUAAAGAUCAUCAAAGAAGACUAUUAUAAGCUUCCAUCCUCAACAUACUUUCAAGCAAGGCUGGGCAACCCUUUUCUAAUAAGGGCUGAAUUACUUCAAGAUGCUUAAGCAGUACUAAGCCUGGCUGGGGGCAGGAACAAAACCAGUAGUGGAUGGAGCCAAUGUCAGUGAUAGGUAGGAUCUUAACCAAAGGUAGGUGGAUCACCCCCUUUUGCUUCUCCUUUCUGAAACCUCCCCUUCUCACUACAUCUGCAAUCUUUUUCUUUCUUGCUUGCUUGUUUCCCAUGUAGCAGGCUGCCAAGGAAGGCAUAAAUUGCUCUUGUUAAUGGCAUGAACUGAUUGCAGGCAAAAUGCCUUUGAAAUUAGGUUGAAAGCCACAUUAGACAGAUGGCCACAGGUUGCCCAUCCUUGCUUUAAAGUCUUGUAAGGGCAAGUUGAUUGCCCUUGCAUUAUCUCUUUUGUGAUACUGUCCUGAUAAAAUAUAUCCCAUUGUCACAUUUUCAUGAAGGUUGUUACUGCAAUCAAAAAGCAAAACUAAAACUAUAUAGGUCUUUGCAACUCCCUCCCUCUGUUCCUCAAGGCAAGGUGCUGAUCGGUGAACACUAAAAAGUAAUAUGAUAAAAGUCCAAGAAGUGAGCAUGUGCUAAUGAGAUGGGUCUAAUAAAAAGGGGAUUGUUUAGAGUAGACAGACUGGAGCUCCAACCCAGCUAUCAGAGACAGGUUUGACAGAAGGCCAUAAAAAGGAAUACCCUGUUUAGCUUGAGCGGGCAUUAAUGUAGCAGCCAGACUUUUUCUAAUGAUCUAUGAAUAACAAAGAAAGAUUGUCUUCCUGACAGAAGUGAGUUACUGUUACCAUUAAAGAUGAUAGCACAAUCGGGAAGCAGAAGUGGCACAGUUCCUCGAAGAUGGAAUACUCAUCCAUCCUGCCAACCAUUAUAUUCUCACAGAAAUGGGAUGGAUAUGAAUUAAAAGCAGACCUAAAGUUAACCUUUCCACACUUCAGACUGACACUUGGACACUAUCACGAGUGUGCCAAAAAAGAGGCAUGUCCGCCUAUAUUAUAUUUCUGGGAGGAAGAGGGAAACGGUGGCUCAUGUAUGGGGAACAUACACACACAAAACAAUGUUUUCUGAAAUGCUGUUGGCCUUAAUCCACCUUCCCUGACUUGGAGCUCUCCAGAGGUGUUGGACUGCCUCAGUCGCAACCUAUUCUGCUAGAGGCUUUCCAUCCCCUCUGGAGAGCAUCCGGCUCCGUAAGGAUGAUCGUAGGGCUGCUUCAGGAUCAGACACACUCUGCUUCUCCCAUAUGCUUGCUGAGUUUGAUCUUAGUGCUAUCUAGAAGCUCCCUGAAAAAUGUCACGCAGAAACAAAACCUCUGUCUUUAUCAGCUUCCUAAUACCCUUCUGCUAGUUUCCUUCCUGCACACUUCCUUUGCCUAUAAUCAUAUCCUGCGUCCAAUCCCUUCUCCCUCAGGAAUGCCUGCUGCCAAGCCGGAUAUCACAGAAGCUACGCACUCCAUACUCCCCAAUUGUUCAGGGGUCACAUGACAGGAGUCUGAGGCUGCCAUCCUAUAUACAUUUACAUGGGAGUCAGCACUGCUGAACUUAAUGGGAUUUACUCCUGAGUAAACUCGUACAGCAUUGCACUAUUACUUUCUCAUCCUUGGUGCAGAGUUUUUGAAUGGAAAAGUGAAGCUUAUCUUACCUGGCUAAGUUUUCUUAAUUCCAGAGAGUCAGUAAAGAUUGUUAAUAUCCCCACUUGCAGAGCAAAUGCAUUUUGCAGAGUUUAAUAAUAUAUAUUUUAAAGGGAAUUAAGCUAUCUGUAUUUUUCCCCUCAGGGUGUAUAUCCUCCCUGUCAUAAAUAUAAAUGUAGCUACUUAAUCCCAGAUGACAAAAUUUCACAUCACUAUCUUUUUCUUCUCUUAAAAUUUAAGGAUUAUAGUGUUACCUUAGCCAUAUUUUGAGUUUAAAAAGAUAUAUAAUCAGAACACUCUCCUGUCGAUAAUACAAAAAGUAUGGAAUGGAAUAGAUUUAUUUUGAGGGCUUUUCCCUCUUUUUUUUAAAAAAAGAAAAGCAGAGAUCUCUGUAAAAAGCCCAGCUUUUAAAAGUUUUAUUGUUAAAUCAGCCAUUGUUUUUGGCCAAUAAAAUGGAAAAUAUGUGCUUUUAUGGGUUUAUAAAAAGGCAAACUAUGGUUGCAUGAAAAAUAACUUUCACCGAUUGAGUACAGGUGGAGACUUGUUUAAACUCCUAAGACAUAAAGGCUUAGUAUGUAUGACUGAAAAAGGUAACAUGGCACAAUAAAAAGUCUUCCUUUCUUCAGUCAUCAAUCCACCGGGUAUUCCAUGUCAAAUAAACGCUACAACAAUUUACAGUAAAAGUACACAGUGGAAGUGCCAACGUUAACACUUCUUAGGUUUGGAGGGCGUCCAGAUUUUUCACGCCAAUAUUUAACACGGACUGAAAUGUCUUUUCCAUUGGAAGUGUCAGCUGUAACAUGCUUUGCUAUAUUUGGCAACAUGUGUAUGUGGAGCAUAAAGUCCAACGUGUGUGAUGUUCAUUUUUAUUUCAACCAUGAUAAAUGGUAGUUCAUUUGUUUAAGUGCACAUGGCAGUUUUAGUGUUCCUACUAUAAAUUUUGGCUAACUUCUAUUGACAUGCUGUAUUAAACUUAAGAAAAACAAAUUACACUUCAGCCGUUUUAAUUGACUAAAUGUGUCAAAAACACAAUAAGUAUAACAUUAGAGGUCAAGGCCUUAGACUAUACUAUAAUGGGUGUUGUGGCAAGUGUCCAGACUUUUUUCCCCUCUUUCUUUUUGGUACAUUUCAUUUUUCACAAAUGUUUAGCACAAGGCAGGCAUUUAACAUUUCUGAGUGCUUUGAGUCUGAAACUAGAAUUCUCUUGUAGUCUAUAAUCAGCCUAUUUGAAGUUUUCAUUUCAAAGUGCUAGUCCUGAGUUUUCCUUCUGGCCACCUGUAAACAAACUGUUUAAACAGAUACUUUCAAUUGGAGGAAUGAAAUAAAGAUUUAUGCUACUCAGUGCAAUUGAAAACAGAAACCAUGUUUAGAAGUCAUCUUUCCUUUGCUAAAUACAUGAGCAACUCCAUGGUCCUGAGCCAGAAAAAUCUUGGCAGUACUUCAUUCCUAAGGGACUUUACUGGAGUCUGUCAGUUUUGACUCAUGUCUUUUAUAUUAAGUGCCUGAUAACACACGUCUUCCAGGAUUUUUUAACCUGAUUUGUAUAGAUGAACAAGUGAAAACUAUUACCACAAAACUGAGAUCAGAAUAAAAGGCUUUCCAAAUAAUUCUUUUAGCAUUUAUAUAGCACUUUGGAAUGUUUUAAACAGUCCAGAAUGGUCCAUUCACAACAGUGCUAUUAGGUGGUUCAGUAUUAUUCUCCCAGGUGGGAAUCUGAAAUGCUGGGCUAUUCUACACAAGUUAUUUACUGUGCAUUCAAGAUUCCUCACUUACAGUUAAGGUUUUCUUGGGCACUAUUGUGAUCCUCUCUUGCCUCUACUGGUUCUCAGAGCAUGUUCCCAUUUUGUUUUUAGAAUGGGGAAAAUGGGGAAUUAUUUCUGAGAGUGCUACUUUUAUUUCUGUAUUCGAGCUAUUCUGCUAUAGUAAGCACCGGCUAGAGAUUAUAGAGAGGAAUAAUGGGAAAGGAAAAGCUCUUGGUGUCCACUCAGGUCUCAAUUUUGUAACAAAACUGAAGUUUGCAACUAAUAACUUUGUUUAAAAGAUCUUCGAUUAAUGGUUGAGGCCAUUUAGUGACUUCACAAGAAAGGAGAGAUUAAACCAGGAGAGGAGAAUUACGUGUUCACAGCUCGGUUUCUUAGCUAUUGGCUCCACUGACAGUGCAGUUCCCACACAUGCCUACUCAGAGACAAGCUUCAUUAAGUUCGACAGCACUCGCUCUCAGCUAAGUGUGUUCAGCCUCACUUGCAAAUUUCCUUGUUAGAAAGAGAAUCUUCUUUAUGCUAAUGAAAAUCAUCUGUCUCAUGUGAGGAGGUCUGUACCUUCUUGCUCUUAAAUAAGAACUGUGUCUUGUAUCACAUGUGCUGUAUGCUACAUAAACCCAGAUCUUUAAAAGCCUUCAUGAAAUUGCCAGGAGCCCAUUGAAGUUGACGGGCUUCUUGCCAUUCAGCUGGAUGGAGGCCACAGGAUUUCACCUGACACUUUCAAAGUGCUUUGGGGUGUCAUGAAGAUGCAGUAAGAUUUGAGCCAAAACAUUGCUCAGUACCACUGAGAAAUACGGUUAAAGGGCAUGAUGAGAUAGCUGGUCUUCCCACUGAAACAGGCCUCCAGUACUCAAGCAUUUCAUGAGAAAUGUCAGUGGUGUGGUUAGGAGGUUUCAAGGAAUGACUUGUGAAAAUCCAUUUGCUUCUCCUGAAAGCAAAACCAUGUAGGCAGGUUCCACUCCCAUUUAAGGUGUUAUUUCUGCAUUAUGGUAAAGCCUGAAAGCAGGGCAGAAGGUAUUGUGAACAUUAAUGGCACUCAAAAUAACCUCUGAUUGCUACUGAUUCUGUUACUGGAAAGAUUUUAAAUGCUAUUUUAUAAAUCUAUAAUGAAUUCCUUACAGGAAGAAACCUUUAGAGCUCUGGAUGCUGCACUGCAGCCUUUCCUGACCUGGUAUGGUUCAGAGGUUUUAGCCUUUGACUCUUAUCAACACCAGCCCGCAUGUUCAGGGAUGCUGGAAUGCCACAUUUUGGCAGGGAAGGCUGCCCUGCUGUUUGCCCCAUUUGUGGAAAUGAUGAAGGCAGUUCUGGAUAGGCAGUGGCCCUGUGGGAUGAGGUGGGAAGAUGAGGCUCCACAUCCUGGCGCAUCCACACUUUAAACUUUCUUCUCAAAGCAUCUGGCAUAAUUAUCCAAUUAAAAUCUAGUACAUGUAAACCAAAAGCAGUUUUGUGAUUGACAGAGAGGCUAGCCAGUCAGCAGUGUUAACAGCCCUGCUCUGAGAAGAGGAAAAAUGCGUAGGAAUGCUAAUAAUUUCCAAUUUUUUUUUAGCAAUGUUUCCUCUGAGUCCAGUUAGUGUGUAAAGACAGUACAUGUGUCACAAAUGCAGCCACUGUUCAUCCGCUGACUUGUAUGCCCACAGAAAUAACUACGUGGCCUAAACUACAUGGUCAAUAGCAGGAAACUGAACCUGAAGUUUUUGGAUAUUUCAUCCUCAAAGAGGGUGCAUAGGAUCCUGCUCUGGAUCAGCAUGCAAGUAGGGGAGGUUUAAUCUUUCCAUCCAGAUGUUUUCACCCGAAAAUUGCUCUCCUACUUCAGAGUGUGAGAGAGAGAGGAACAAAGAAAAAAAAUCCCUAUCAUUUUCACUAGUGGAACAUUUUCCAUUUUUCUCUAGCCUCUGUGAAGUGUGGCCAAUUUAGGUAGGAAAGUAAUUGUGUGAGAAUGCUUCCACCUUCCUCAUCUGUGUGGAUCUUCCAAGUUAAAAACUUCAACAACAGCAACAACAAUGGUGAGGAUCUGCAGCAUGCUGUGUAUUUAAGAUUACAUGUAAGCUAACCUUGAAAUGAUCAGAGGGUUAGGAAGAAAAGCUUCUCAAAUCUGGGACUAGUUUGGUUACAAAAAAUACAAUGGAAAUGGUGAAUGAAGGCUGUCACUUUCAUUGAUUGCUUGUGAGUUUUCCAGGAUCAUCUGGCUAGCCCAUGUUCAAGAGAAAAUGUUAAAUGAAAGGAUUCCACUAAGAGCCUUUUUAUGUUAUCUCCAGACAGUUGAUUCCACUCCUUCCGUGAGAAAUUUGUUCCAUGAUCUAAUUGUUCUUACUGAUAGGACUUGUGUCCUCUUGUGCUGCAAGUUGCUGAUAAACACUGUAAUUAUAUUCAUAAAAUAAUUCCUUGUAUCUGUCAAAAACAGCCAAUUUGAUCCUUUUCACAAUUAAAACAAGGCUGCAACAGAUAUGCAUUUUCAAAAUCUUAAUAGUUAUAAAAUAAAGCAUCUCAAACCCAGAGUUGUUUAUUUGAAUUAGGGAUGCAGAAGUUUGCUUUUUAUUAUGAAUAUCUUUUGUUUUGAAUUUCCAAAUCAAUAUACAAACUAAAACUCAGUUAUCCUUAAUGUUCCCUGAAUUUUGCAACUGAACUUUCCAAUCAAAAUAAUGUAUAAGAAGAAUUAAUGAUGGGAAAUGCAAACCCAAAUAUGCCUUUUAGUGAAAAAAAAAAGUUAAGUCAUGAAUACCCUCUUCCCAUCUUAUCUCAGACAGGAGGUCAAUCUAUUGAAACACCUAUGAAGACUUGAUUCAAGGGGAAGAAUUUCUGCACAUGGAGGAAUUAAAUGAUAUGACUACUGCCAAGUUAACUGAUACAGAAGUGGAAAAUCUGAACAGCAUUCUGGGAAGAAACAUUAAAACAAACCACAAUUUGAUAGCAGCAACAGCAGCAGCCACUCCAGUAGUGAGUGAGCGAAAGGAAGGCUAUUCUACAACUGAAAGUGGAGGAGUUCUGUGUGAUUCCAUUGUCAGAGAUAUAUCACUACCUAGUUAGUUUUGGACUGGCUGUUGGCAUGGACCUCCACAGGGGUGGAGAGCCAGUUAAAAUGGUCUGUCCCAGGUGAGUGAUGGACCCAGAAGUGCUUGGGAACUUUCUGCCUUGUUUGUCAGUGGUACUGUUGAAAUUCUGCCUUAUCUAUGGAAUAUGAAAAUGUUCUGGGCUAUUGACGCAAUUGCUCCUAAGGUUAUCACUACUAUGACAAUUUUUUUGUACAAUAAACAAUUGCAUACAAUGGACAGAUAGUUAAUUUUAUCCAGUUGUUUUAAUAUUAUAAUACUCUAUUGUUUGGGAUGUUUAUUGUUAUUAAGUUUCAAUUAUUUGCUAUCAUAUUGAUAACAUUAGCAAAUAAGGCAGUAUAUUACUAGGUUGCUUUUUAUCUUACCAUUACAUUAAAAAUUGCAGAAAUUAAAGCAUAAUAUUUUAAACACAUAAAGAUCACUGAGUGUUUUGAACAGAGGUGGAAAUUCAGCCCGGCUAUGUACAAUGUUAAGCUAAUCUCAAAAUGAUUUCAGUAUAAGUGAUAUGUUCAAGAUGUGUUCCAUCACAGAAGCCUAUUUCUGCUUCCACAAGAGACUUUUUUAUCAGGUCUGGAAAGAAAAAUGGUUAAAUGAAUAGCUAAGAACAGCACAUAUCAAGCACCUAGCAAAAACACAUGACAGAGACACUAAAAUGUUAUACUGGAGAUUUUCAAAAUGCUCCGAUUCCACAAUAAAGAUACAUUGGCAAUGAUUAAAGGAAUGGCUUCUCCCAUCUGUAGUUCAGUAUCUUCCUUGGACACCCUUGUCCAGGCGCCUCACCAGUGGAAAUACAAGCCUGGGGGCAGGCAGUGCUACCCAGGAAAGGGCCUUUGGCAGUGGCAGCAAUGUUCUGGAGCUCCCAAGAGAAGGUCCUUCCAAUCCUCAGCCAUGGAAUUUUUGGUGGUGUUUGAGCCUCUCUACAUUUGAAGGAUCCUCUUUCCUGAAUGGUGUUUCUUUGGCUAUUUUGGCUUGAUUUCUGUUGUACAAAUGCUUAAUCUGAGUAACUGCUGGUGGAUUGUUCUGCAGAUUAUUUUUUCAUUUUUAUUUUUAGAAGUAUUUUGAUUCAUGACCAAUCUCAGAAAUCCCUGGCCAAACCAGGAAUCUCUGCUUUUACUUCCAUGCAGUCACUAACAUAAAUGAGAAGGAUGUGGAAAGAAAGGAAUCAUCCUCAGGGAAUGUCUCAUGCCAAAAGAGAGGAAAUCAUGUAUUUUAAUCUGAUUUUCUUAUCUGAGCUUCCUAUAUGAAUGAUCUCUUUUCCAACCUGGUUCUUAGUCUGCCGGGUAAGGAACAAUGACAAACGUCUGUUGAUGUCCUCCUCUACAAAGCAUAAUGUAUAUGACACCACAGUAAAGGUGAGCACCUUCCUUGUCAUUAUGUAAUCAAACCCUGCUUCACAUCUCACACUCUAUGUGUACUCAAGAAAGCACUGCAUGUUCACCCAACAAACACAUGUCUUCUACUGCUUGCAUGUUAAAAUGUAUCACCUAGGAGGCUGAGAUUCCUAACAUAGACAUGUGUUAAGAUAUCUUUGCUAUUGUGUGAUCUGUCAAACAGCUCCCUGUUCACCCACCUGAAGCCUUCUCCUUAAUACCUUGCAGGGGAUUUUAAUGCUGCUGUCAAACUUCAAAUGAAGAUGCUAGAAUAUAUUUUGCAUCUUGUACGUGAGAAUGAAAUUGUAUUUGAAUGCAGACUUCAAAAGGGGGGGUAUUUAGCAUUUUAGGAUGGGUUUGUUUUCCAGUAGUGCUUUCCCACUAGCAUCAGAACCACCAGGAAAAGCCAAGAAGACUACUUUGGUCCACUACCCAAGUAAGGAGAUUCUCUGCCCCUCCCACAGGAGCAAAAUAUCUGAUGCUAUCUGUCCUUGUUUGCCACCAUCCUCACCAGGAUGGUGGGGAUCCUCCUCAGUGGUCCUCUGGAACCUUUGAAAUACAGCAGUUGCAACUCCCCUUCUUUCCCCAGCAGAGUGAGCAACGCAGCAACCUCUCCCACCCCAGCACAGACAGAAGCCACCAAAAACAACCUUAGGUUUGCUAUGUGUUAAUUUCUCCUUAUUGUCAGCUACCGUCAAUGCCUGUUCGGAGAAAGGUGGGCCAUAAAUAUUUCUAAAUAAAUAUUGCAAUGAUGGUGUUAUUGUUGACAAUGAAGUAUGUCCAAUUUGAUUUCGCAUCAGAGGUGUGGACUUCACAUGACUUGUCCUCGAGUGCAAGAUUUUUCUUUCAUAAAUAACUACUAUGGUGUUCAAAAGUUGAGGGCCUUUGCUUUCUACCCCUUUCCCUUCAUACUAAUACAAGGAAUGGAAGCCACAGAAGGAAGCAAAAGGUUAAUGGCCCCCUCUGCAUCCUCCUCCUGCCACAUUGCAGUCAAGGUCUAGCUUGGGUCCCUAGUACUGGUUAUUUGAGAAGGAAAUGUAUUGCAGUCAAGCACAAACCUCCAUGUGAAUGACUUGUCAUUUUUAUCACCUGCUUUUUGCAUUAGCACUUUUGAGAAUCCUCUUGGCAAAAUAUGACACCAAAUCCUCAUGCAUGCUUAUAUCCCUGUUUGAAGCAAAUUAAUAUCUUGUAGUGCCUCUCAAGCCAUUGACUCAACAUAAUCACUAGUGCCAAACUGAAAUUUCUUCAUGCUUUUCUUUUAACCAUCUGUGAGCAGGUUGGUGGCAAAUUGAAACCCUUCCAAAAAGGUUGUAGGAGGGGCAAAGAAUGUCUUCCAAAAGCAGUAUGGGGAAGGGCCCGUUGCUUCCCCUAACUGUCUGAGGCUGCUGAGGGGAGAUUGCCCUUUUAAACCUUAAAGCAAGGCCCCCAUGCUUCUUCCAGUGGUGUGGGAUGCUCUCAGUUGCUUUUUGCUACCCAGAGAUAUUAAAUGGCUAACCACACAUCUCGGAGUGGCUUGGGAGCAAUGUGACAUCACAUUGUGUUGUAUUUCUCAGAAGACAUUUUAGCAAGUGUGGGAGGCAGGAAGUGGCAGGGAGAGCCUCUCAGCUCUGUGAGUGAUGCAGGAACAUUGCUUUGAAGUUGAAAUAACAGCAAAGAAUCCACAUACAUUUCAUUUGGCUGAGGUGAACAGUAAUCCCAUCAGUAUGCAAACAAGAAAUCAUUGCACCCCAUCUUUGUGUGGGUGCAACAUCUUCAGGAACAUUAAGAAAGGAAUUAGGGUUCAACAAUCUUGAUCAACAAUAUGCCACUCAGGUAUUUGAGCACCAUAAACUUGUUGAUAUAGAGAAAGUAACUGAAACAUCUGAUGAAAACACAACUUGCCUUUUUAAUGUAACAGAAUCCUUAUCUUUCACUAAAAGAUCAGCCAGAUGCUAUAACAUAGAAGUCAAGGAAAAGACUCAAUUGAUAUAAUUUGAGUCCUGCAGAUAAUCUUUGUUCCAGGCUGACUGCUACUGAAGGGGCUGAACCAAAAGCUUGAACCUGACAAUACUUUUCCUCAUGACCUUAUUACCUUCAUCUCAUUGGUAAUUAUAUUUGUGUGAGAAAUACUGAAAAUCACCCUUUGGGAUAAAGGUCUUGGAAGUUUCAUUGAUAAACUAGGUGCGGGUCCCAGAGCUGGCAUAAAAUAUCUUGUUUAGGUUGUAAAAAUAUAUUAGCCUGUCAUGUUAUCUCCAUAAAUUUCUCUGCCACAGAAGGCAGGUAAGGUCCCCUGGAUCCCUAGACUCAUUACCACUUCUGCUUACUAUUACCAUUCAUCAGCUGCUUUGUCACACAUUGCAGGCUGAAUUUGGAAAAGCUGCAAUUCUGGAAGGGUAGAUAUCGAGUGAAUUAUUAGCUGUGACAGACAAACGUGUUUCCAAGCACUCUCUCUAAGUUCUUCUACACAGCAAAGCAACAAUUGUGUAGGUGUUUUCAGUGUGAUGCCAAGAGUGUCAUGGUGGAACUGGUGGAGUAAUCCAUUCUUCCACUGUGUGUUAAUUAUGAACUUCUGAAACUUUCUAUAACUUCAGCAAAUUUAGAUCCCAUUUCAAAACCUGCACCGUUUUUUAAUGGCAGAGUUUGUUAGUUUUGUUUGGGACAGGGGUGGGGAAGCUUUUCAGCUUAAGGGCCUUAUUGUCUCUGUGGAAAUCUGUUGGGGUCUGCAUACCAUCAGUGGGCACAACAGAAUCAAGCCUGACGGGAAUGCAACUGCCAUCUGUUCACUCACACACUUAUACCCAUUUACUCAGGAAAGAUGCGGGACAAGUGGAACCUUUGGUCAUUGCCACAUUAGAGUCCCCUUAGGCUGUGGCUGCCAGCUUUGCUCACUGCUCACGUUUCUCUUCUCUGGAGACCAUCAUUUCGAACCUCUUGCAAGCUGCUGCCAGGGUACCCCAGUGGAACCAGCUCCAAUCAGCCCUUGGCUUUGACUUCAAGGCUUUGGGCAGAGCUUCAGGAGGGUCAGGAUCCACCGAGCUUUAGUGCACUUUGGUGCACAAAACCCCCUGGAGUGGGUUUUGACUGAUUAUUAUUGAUUUUAAGCCUGCUCAGAAGUAAGCCAGACAAUUUUUCUGCAUGUCUUUUCAGAAGUACGAGGAGCUGAAUCACCAGCUGCUUCUUCCCCAGUGCCCACCCUACUCCCCCUUGCAGGGAAAAGCUCUUGUCAGUUGCUGCACCAUCCAUGGCCCACAAGAUGGCUGUUCCUAAACUUUGGUGUACAUGUCAUCCUCGUUAUACAGCAGCCAUUGUCCUUGUUGGACCUGGGAUGUAUAGAAUCUCAAAGCUAGUCUAUAAGCCUUUCAUGCUUCCUCCAUCAGGAUUGGGUUGAUGUUUUCAGAAACAAAUAAGAACUAAAAUAGCCAGGGGAUUCAGCUUCAGAAUUCCAGUAAUAAUAGGAUUUAUCCAAGUCACAAAUGCUGAGGAAAGCACAAGAAAUCUUUCACUACUAAGUUUCAGAAGUUAAGAUCACCGUUCAAUAGCAAAUGGCAUGACUCCUUAAGUAACAGGUGUUUAUCCAGACCAAGUCAUACUUAGAAUACUUUCAUUGGAAUGAAUGGGGUAGGUUAGUUAAUCAGAGGAGCAUAGCAAAGCUUUGAUACAACUCUGCUUUAUCCUGUGUAUCCUCAGUGUCUCACGUCUCUCUAUAUUUAUGCAUUUUGUAGAAAUGUCUAUUUUGUAUUCAAACUCUUGGCUUUGUUUUGAAAGCAAACCAUAGAGAAUAGUAAUAUGUUGGCUUAGAAAAGGAGAAUGGUUCAUUGUUACCACUUUUUUUCCCAAGGAAAAAUGUAACAUCCAACAUGUCCCCCAGUUGCUCAACAUCAUUUAAUGUAUACAGGAUUCAAUAUAUGUAUGAUUCCAGCAGUCAAUAUUCAGGCAAGGUCACUGGGGAUUCAACCACCCCUCUAACUUCAGAAAUUUCAACAGGAAUUGCCCAGACAUCUCAUUUUGACAGCUGUAAAAGAUAGACAUGCAUUUAUGUAUGACAAGAAGCCCAGGAAACUAAGAUUCUCAGUACGCUGAAACAGGUAGGUUUAGUCCUAAGAAGCAUGAGUAGAAGACUGUUUCAGAGAUGCAGAACCUCAAAUGCAGCCUGCUGGGGGGAGCAAUCUAAUGCUCUGGCAUUCCCAAAACAAUUGCAUCCCAUUUUGUGGCCCUGCCCCAUUCCCUUAACCAUCAGGUGGUUUCCUGCCUUCUGAAACUUUGAAAUGCCUGCUCUAAGGCUUACUUACUGGCAGUAAGAGCUUUAAGCUAAAUUGUGCUGGUCUUUUGGACUCCACUCAUUACUUUUGGCUCUGUCUCUUUUGCCUGAAUCCCCAUCCAACACUGGCAUAUUCCCACCAAAUUUUGGAAAGUGGUUCUGAACCUCUGCUUCAUCCAUGAGUGUUCUUCUGCAAAGUAUUGCUUGAAGGCUAGCCAAAGUCAUUCCAUAACCAAGUGCCUGGGGCUAUAUUACUCUGUAAGAAGGGAUUAUGCAUUUUCAUAUCUGGGGUUCACCCAGCUUCUCCUGGUAAAGAAAGCCCUGCUGGUUGGACCACAAGCCAUUUCCCAUUGAAAAGCAGGACGUAUUGGAUAGACCGCAAAUAAUCACCACUCCAAAGGAGGGCUUGCUUUGAACGAGGGGUUUGGGAAUUAGCAGCGGCUCUGCUUGCAAGCAGUAAGAUAGCUUUGUAAUAGGAAACGACAUACAGCCGAGCCAUUAGGGCUUGCUCUGAGCAUGUGUAAGGUAUUUAAGCUAUAAACUGAAUCAUAAAUAAAUAAGAUAUGGAAUCCAGAGGCGGAAAAUAGCAAAUGGUCUUGUGCAAAUGGGAAGAACAUGUGCAAAUGAAAGAACUUCUCUGGAUUUCAGUUUGUUUCUCUUGUGCAAAGUUCUUCUGCUGAGUGGGUAAUAGCCCUGACAUGAUUAGAAGGACUUUUCUGCCUAUGGCUGGGCUCCUCUGGCUCCAAACUACUCUGUGCUUUUUCUGAGCUCCUGCAUGACUGCAUUGAUAGCAUCUGUGCAGAACCAUCAUGUACCAACAUGAUCUCAGCCAAAAGGGAAUUUUUUUACAGUACUCUGGAGGAAGUACUUUUGGUCAAGGGCUGGCAGUGAGAAGAGGACAGGAAUUCGUAUACAUGAAGGGCCUGUUCAGGUGAAAGUAACUGUUCAUGUGAACACAGCCUUGCUAAAGCCAGAUGGAGGCUUAGCAGAUGACAUAUUACAGGGUAAGGAGAAAAAGUGAUCUGUAAAUACUCUUUCAGUAUCUGUGUUUCUGGCAACAUGAUAACUUUAAUUGUGGUUCAUUUAUAUCACAGAUCUCUGAUGAAUUAACUGGACCAACAGUGAAAACUGUGGAUCUGUAAAGUUGUAGACUGAGAAAGACAAAUUCUGAUGAGUUGGGCACUAAUGUAAACCCAGUGUUUUAUAAUCAGUGGGAGGGAACAAAUUUCCCUUCCUCUCACUCCUUCCCUCCCCAUUGGAUUAUGUCAAAGAUUAGCUGUUAUUUAAGGAACAUUGUACAAAGUUUUCCAAAGGAUUUUCCUUGUAAAUGAUUACCACAUGUUUGCUCUAUUUAAACAGCUUACAGGCUGGAUAUAUAAGAUUGAUUGAUGGCAUUGGUUCAAGUUGUUUUGUGACUCACUGAUUCUUUAGGAAGAAUUUAUUCAUGUUAUUUAUUGAAGGGCUAGCAAAAUACAACCCAUUGAUUAUAAUUUCAAGUUUCUGGUAGAAACAAUUGCAGAACAGAUCCAUAAAACCAGUCUAGUACAUGCAUGGGGUAGCUAUUUCUAUUGUACAGUGUCCAUAAAACUAUCCAGUGCUUCCUUCCUAAAAUGCAUCACUUUAGUUUGUGUUCCUAAGAAAAGCAACUAAUCCAUCCCUACAUGGACUACUAAAUGAAACUGAAAUUGAAUUGUGCUAGGUUACUUUUUCUAUUAAGGUUUAAUAUAGCAAGAGAAAGAUGGGUAAGAAUGGCCAGAAUGUUACGCUCCCCUUUAUACUUAAAAGAGUGAUGCAUCUCUCUGUUACGUUCUCCCAUCCUUCAGUGGCAAGUGGAUUCCCCUCAAACACAAGGAGGGGCAUACAGCAGGUGGAAUCUAUCACACAGGAAAAUUAACCUGACAAUUUUUAGGCAGCAAUGUAUUAGAGGAAAAUCUGUACUAAAGCAUGAAUUGUAUUAGUACAGAAUUUUCUGCUUAGGAUCUUUCUGCUUUCAUAAAGAAAAAAGCAAUAUAAGAACACAGGAAGCUGCAAACCAGAGAAGCAACCAACUAAAUCUUUGAUUUGAUGAUCAUGGUAAUAUAUUUUUUUAUUGUAUUGGUUAAGAAAUGACUUGAGGGUAAUCAGUAGCAAUCUUGGAAGGAACUAGGAGGAAGGAACAGUGAAUUUUAAAAUAGAUGGAGUAUAUAUUUAGUCAGAAUCCUGGAUCUGAAGGUUUUCACCUACAGGCAUGGAAGGAGCUUCCAUCUUCUGUUGGAGAAAGCUUCUUCCAUCACAUAAAGGGAACCAGUGUGUACUAAUCUUAUAGACCAUUCGAUUUUGGCACUAAUGAACCUCUGCUGUUCACUGUGUAGUGCAAACUGAGCCCUAACAAGUCUUGUGCUAUUGUUGAACCCUGAUGACUAUAACCUACCUUGAUGACCUAGAAUGAGACCUUUGGUAUUUGACAAAAUCUUUUGUUUUGUGCAAAGAAAAGUCAUAAGAGCAGAACUGUGCAAAACAACUUGCUAAGAAAGAAAAGGGAAGGUGAGCAUUGUAAACACUUCAGGAUGUAUAGCAGAUGAAUCAAAAUUGGUAGUGGAGCUGAUUAUUUUGGAUGGUUUGUUUUUACAUCUCAUUUAGCAUUUAGUGGAUGUGGAAAUAUGGAGAUGCCAAUAUGGUAGGUCUCUGAAAUAAGGUAAUAAAAUUAUUUCCAGCAAUUUAGGUAUGGAAAUACAUAAAGGGAAGCACUAUUGGUACAGAUUUGUAAGCAGUAAAGUUGCUCUGCACUACACUAUUAUAAGAAACUCUAGCGUAAUAAUUCUAACAUUUUAUGAUUUCAUUCUGGAAAAAUGUGGUUAUAAGAACAACUUCUGGCACAGAAGAAACAUUGGCUUUGUGUAGCUUCUAAAGAGAAUAGGGUAUGAGAUGAAUACCCCAUAGAAUACAUUCCAGAAGUCAAACUAGUAAAAGAACAACAACCGUACAAUCACUAAAAUAA